AAGACAUGGGCCUUGGAACCAAUGAAUCGGGGUAUUUUCUGAAUGUUAGACUCCAACAAUACCUUUUUCAUUCAAUGUAUUCAUAAAAUUGUUUGAUGGACAAUGAACAUUCAAAAGAUUGUUCAAAGGUUCCAUCGAAAUGCUAAACUACAGUGGCCCCUCUUUUAGUCCAAGUAAUUAGGUAUUUUAGAAACGAAAAGAGUGAAUGAAAAGCUAACCCAAG
Molecule: long non-coding RNA, 223 nt
Filed under: Lathyrus oleraceus (garden pea)
Lineage: Eukaryota; Viridiplantae; Streptophyta; Magnoliopsida; Fabales; Fabaceae
Description: Pisum sativum (pea) long non-coding RNA (PSAT_LNC012130)
Source: RNAcentral